UUGGAAGGAGUGUGCAGCAAUUCAGCAUUGCUGUGAAGCAGACUAAGAAAGUGAGAGGAGGAGACUGUGCAUCUGAAACAGUGUGAGAGAGAACAGGGACAGCAGCGUCACAUGGACCAUGUGAGAGUGGGAACAGCAGCUUCAUAAAGAACAUGAGACAGCGUUGAGUCAACAGUGUCACAAAUAUAGUGUGAGCUCGAAUCAGUACCUUUGUAAAGAGAAGAGCUGACUUGCAUGAGAAGGGCAUUAAUGGUGGGAGAUAGAAACUGGCAGCAAAAAAGCCCCUUUAACUUAUUUCUUCUUGGAAGAACCAAAGUGUAACAUCAGAGGAAAAGAGGUGAUGAUUGGUGUAGCAUUAACUUCCAAUGAUCCAGGUGCACAUCCUGAAGGAUUUUGACAGGUACAUUUUCGGUGUAAAAACUGAUUGUUCUUCUGGAUGACAGACUGAAAAAACUUCAUAAGAUUGGAUUUUCUGAGCAAGCUGUACCUACUAUGACCCUGGAGAUGAUCAUACAUGAUUAGUGAUUUGACUACAUAUGUGAGAACAACAGAUGAACAGACUUUGAAGCAUUUUAUGUCUUAUUUCCUUCAACGAUAAACACGACUGACCCCAGAAAGUGUUCAAAUUUCAAGUUCAAAUUGUGUGUUUGUGUGUGUGUGUAUUGUGUUCAUUAGAAGGGUAGAAAUUUGUAUUGUCAUAUUACAAAGGGGUGUGUGUUGAUCAGUUCUGCUCAUUGAUUCAUUCAUUUUGUUUUAAAAUAAAUUAAUGACCUUGUGUUUAUUAAAGAAUCUUGUUUGAUCGA
This is a long non-coding RNA of Rhincodon typus (whale shark), 803 nucleotides long. RefSeq lists it as uncharacterized. The record is from RefSeq and is a predicted model, not a curated record. The transcript is spliced from 3 exons. NCBI's taxonomy places the organism in Eukaryota, Metazoa, Chordata, Chondrichthyes, Orectolobiformes, Rhincodontidae.